AUUCAAAAGUCAGUGAGGAACUGUUUUAAUCUAGGUAAAUCACUUGGGUACAUUGCCAGUUUCUUCACCUGUAAACGGGAGAUGUAAACUUCAUACAAUUGUUAACAGUGUCUUACUUGUAUGAUAACAGAGAAGAAAGUAUUUAAACAAUUAUCAAGUAGGACAUCUGUGUCAAGUGGUAUAUUGAGUAUGUAAUUACUGUGUUCUUGGGCAGUCAGGAAUUAAAUUAUUUGUGUUGAUGUGUUUUAGUAAUUAAACACUUCUUGUAGAUGACUUUUGAUGGGAUAUUUUUCAUGGUAUAAAACUUGUCCUGUGUUUUCACGAUGCUUGUUUCACAAUAUCUUCAUGCCCAGAUCCAGUCUUGCAUGAAAACAGGAUAGACAAGUGCCUAAAUGCUCUUUUUGCUAUUACAGAACGCUCAAGAACUCAGAGGCCUCUAAAUUGCUCCAUGUUCAUCCUGAUAUGUUGGAAUGUUUUCCAAAGACUGCUGUUAAGUUGCUGGUAUUAAAAUUGCUGCAGAAAUUUAUACCUUGGGAUGUUUGCCUGUGGCAUGUCAGCUCACUGUAGUUUAUCUGGAGGACAGGGCCUUUAGGGACUAGGUUAUAGGUCGGUUAAGUUUUGUAGAAGGGAAGGUGGAACAACUCUAAAAUCUCAAGCAGUGUCAGGAAUUGCUGCUCUCGAUAGAAAUCCGUAGCUGUUAGCCUUGGGAAGCAAGAAAAUGAUCUCCAGUGGAGUAGGGAUAAUAUGACUAUUUUAUAGUACUUUUAGAUCCAGCCAUGUUUGAGCUCUUAAUCAUCAUGAUGCUUCUAUGGUUAUGGUCAUACUUGGCACUUGAGGACCAAAGAUUAAGCAUGAGUGGUUUAGCGAUACUUACAUGCUGCUUAUGUAAGCCUCUUCAAAAUGUUUCAUGUGUAUAAGAAAAAAAAAAAAAAAUGGAAGUUUUCCCAGUCUUAAUUGGGAGAACUGGGAAAAAAGAAAACGGGAUGUUAAUAAUGGCUAUUAUCAUGGUACAGUUGGCCUUUGGACAGAGUAUAAAGCAGUCAUUGAUGUGUCAUUUUUUUAAUGAGUUUGGAAUCCACUCCUUCCUCUUCACCCUUGCACUCUUGUUUAGUGUAUUUAGAAGCAGCUAGAUUAUAGAGGAAAUGGUAAAUUUACAGUGCUUUAGUCAAUUUUGGGAUAGUGGUGAUCAGUACAUUAGCAGUAGUUUUUGUUUUUUUUUUAAACAAAAUAUGAUCGUAUAGCUUUGAACUUUUAUAUUUGUUGACAUAAGGUGUAACAGCUUUAGUGCUUGAAAAGUCAGGUGCAUAUUGGUUUUAGCAGCUUUCAAGUGCAUUGCCUUUGCUUAUGACCUUUUCAAUUUCUAGAAAUAGUCAAAAUAACAUUUAUUAUGAAGUAGCAUUACUAUUGAAUUAAACAGACCUACUUUGGUCCUUGGUUGGCGACUGCAAUAUGAUGAUUUUAUGGAUCUCUAAUGGACUGUGUGUGCUGGUCAGGUUGCUCAUUCCUGGUACCUUUGUCUCUCUGAAUGUAUUUCUGGAAUGACAGCCUUACUUCUCUUCUGUGCCUAAUUCCUUCUUUGUGAAUCCAUGAUCUGUCCAGUGUUUUACUGUGGGAAAUAAUUGUAUACAUAAAGACCGGGCAGUACUGUGAGUUCUGUUUUAUUCUUUUCUCCUUUUUUGUUGUUUUGUUAAUCUUAAUUGUUUAAGCCUCUUUUAGAAAGUCAUAUAGUGAAUGGAAAAGGAAAAGCAUAGUAAUUAAAGGCUGUCUUUGAGUUGCUUGAAUGUGCUUGGCUGUCAAAAUGUUUUUACUCUGAGAGGAAGCCCAUCCUAGUUAGCAUUUUUCUCUGUUGAUUAAACUUUAGGGUUUUGAUUGGGUAGUACUUAGCAAUAAUUAUGUUUUUGAGUUGGGUCAGUGGUGGAGGAGAGUGGUGGUUCUGGUCUUCCAGGGUUCUGCCACGGGAGAUAAGGGGCAGCAGAGAUAAGAGUUCUGCAUAGGAUGUUGACACUGUUAUUGUGUAAGUACGUGUUCUGGGCAGUUCCAGGCUAGCUAGCCUUCCUUUGCACGGGUGGAAGAAGCAGUAAAAUCCAGACAGAAUAGGCUUUAGAAUCUGGAUAAGCAGUGAAGAGGACAAUGCUGUGGAAACGUUGUCCUGCUUUUCCUCCACGUGGAACAGAAAAGCAACUGUUGCCUAAACAAAUUUACAUUCAAACUUGUUCAGAGAAGAAAGAAAGGGGAGAGAUGUGUUUACCCAGCAGCAGUUCAAAGGUGACUCCGUUUUGUCUGUUGUUAGUCACUCUUAAGAACACCAUCUUUUAUUGACUUUUCUGUAGGAUUUACCAACAAAGCAGCUGUAUAGAACUGCCCAAGUUUCUCUCUGGGUGAGGGUUUUUAUUAGGAAGAAUAACUCGGUAGAUGUUUUAGCAAUUUAAAAAGCUCUUGUCUGUUCUUGACCUAAUGAAAGGGGAGAAUAGUUUAAUUUGUUGAGCAGCAGGCAUUGAGUGCCUCUAUGUGGAAAGGCUGGUAUCAGUUCUCUGCGGAAGGUGAGGUGCAGUCUGUGUUCUUGGAGAGCCUUAGCCUUGUAGGGGAGUCAGGCAGGGACGUCAUGGUAAUACAGGGGCCAUAAUACUGGGGGAGUUCAGAGGAGGAGGAGGAGGAGAGACCCUCAUUUCCCCAGUGAGUGAGGGGAACAAGCUUCAUAAAGCUGCAUGUAGGCCACGGUAUGUAAGCUGUGUCUUGCUAAGCAGGAUUGGGACAUACCAAGAGUUCUGCAGAUUGAGUCACGAGCAGGCCUUGGGGAUCACUUAGGAUUUUGCUGUACAUCUGAAACUAACAUAGCAUUGCAAAUCAGUUAUAGUCCAAUAAAAUUUACAAAAGUAGAGUAAAUGUUCUUAAUGGGAAAGAACGAUUUGCUAUAGUAUCUCGCAUGGAAGAAUAAGUAAUAAUAGCUUUUAUCAAAUGCCUGGCUAUGACCAUUAUUCUUUGUUCUAAUUCAUUUCCUUACAACAAUAACAUACAUAGUCAAUCUCGGAAGUAGGUACUGCUGUCAUGCCCACUUUACAGAUGAAGAAAUUGAGGUGCAGAUACGUUAAGAAACUUGUAGAAGGCUACACAGUUAGUAGACUUUGACCCCAGGCUGGUUCUGGAGAGCCCACCCUUCCUUGCCGUGUUAUCCUGUGGGAAAUGUAGCAGAAAUGGCCUGGGGUUUGUUCAUGGAGAGGGUCGAAUUGGAGCUGCAGCUGCCAGCCUACAACCACAGCCACAGCAACGCCAGAUCUGAGCUGCAUCUGCAGCCUAUACCACAGCUCAUGGCAACGCUGGAUCCUUAACCCACUGAGUGAGGUCAGUGAUUGAACCUGCGUCCUCAUGAAUACUAGUCGGGUUCUUAACCCACCGAGCCACAGUGGGAACUCUUUAAAGUGCUUUUGAGGUGCAACCCAGAGUACUAAAAAAUAAUACGUUGAAACUGCUGAUGCCUCCAAUGGAAAGCUUUUCUUCCUUCCUUCCUCUCCCCUUCUCUCUCUCUCCCCCCAAUGAAAAGCUUGCCUGCCUGCUUGCCUUGUCUUUUUAGGGCCACACCAGUGGUAUAUGGAAAUUCCCAAGCUAGGGGUCGAAUUGGAGUUGUAGCUGCCCACCUACAGCCACAGCAAUGCCGGAUCCGAGCCACAUCUGCAGCCUACACCACAGUUCUCGGCAAUACCAGAUCCUUAACCUACUGCGUGAGGCCAGGGAUCAAACCCACAUCUUCAUAGAUCCCAGUCGGGUUCAUUACUGCUGAGUCAUGACAGAAACUCCAAGCUUUUCUCUCUCACUAAGUUCAGAUUUAAAGUAAUCAUGUUCUCAGAAGCACUGAAUGGAAGGAGCAUUCUUCCCAAAAAUGGUCGAGGUCAGAGCUCACCAUUUACUGGCUGAUGACUCUGGGCACCAGAGGCCCUAGCUUUGAUAGAAGGAAGGACUCCAGGGGAGAUGUGUCUUGCUGUUGUGCAUGUGGCCUCUAGCCCAUAGGACUAUUGAUGUUUAAACAUAAGCUCCAUGAGGUUAGGGACAUGCUCUUGUUCCUUAAUCUUUAUCCCCGGGGUCUGGAAUAGCACUGACAGAUAGAAAUACAUACAUUAAAUUUCCUAAUUGCUAUGCUAAAAGAAAGAGAUUAUAAUUGUAAUAAUGUAUUUAACUCACAUAUCCAGAAUAUUAUGAUCUGAACACAUAAUCAAUGUAGAAAAAUUGAAAAUGUUAUUUUCUUUUGUUCACACCGAAUCUUCAAAAUCCAUUGUCUGUUUGAUGCCGACAGCACAUCUUAGUUUAGACUAGAGCUGUUUUGAAUGCUUAAUAGCACAUGUGACUGUUGCCUACUGUACUGGACAGGGCAGGUCUGGAAUGCGACCUGGUAUAUGGUAGAAACACAGUUAAUAUCUGCUAAAUGAAGGAAGGAAGAAGAAAGGGAGGGAGGAAGGAAAUGGCAAAACUUCAAACAAAGGAACACUCUUUUACUUGUUUUGGGAUGUCUUGUUUUGGAAAGUCACUUUCUUACAGCAGCUGAAAGAAGUAAAUGAUUACAUUAAAAAAAUCAUUUACAAAUGCGUUAUUAUCUCAUUGGUACACACCUUCAACAGCAUUUUUUUUGGUGUGUGUCUUUUUGCCAUUUCAUGGGCCACUCCCGAGGCAUAUGGAGGUUCCCAAGCUAGGGGUCGAAUCAGAGCUGUAGCUGCCGGCCUACACCACAGCCACAGCAACACGGGAUCCGAGCCGCGUCUGCAACCUACACCACAGCUCACAGCAACGCCGGAUCCUUAACCCACUGAGCAAGGGCAGGGAUCGAACCCACAACCUCAUGGUUCCUAGUCGGACUCGUUAACUACUGAGCCACGAUGGGAACUCCAACAGUAUUUUUAGAUAGGUCAAUCUUUACUGUUUUUAGUUUAAAGGUGGUCUCGUGGAGUUCCCUUGUGACUCAGUGAGUUAAGGAUC
This 4962-nucleotide long non-coding RNA is filed under the name Sus scrofa (pig). RNAcentral's name for it is "lncRNA (ENSSSCG00000054386.1, ENSSSCG00130033597.1)". The record is from RNAcentral. Lineage: Eukaryota; Metazoa; Chordata; Mammalia; Artiodactyla; Suidae.